Molecule: ribosomal RNA, 303 nt
Filed under: uncultured bacterium
Lineage: Bacteria
Description: bacterial SSU rRNA
Rfam family: Bacterial small subunit ribosomal RNA
Source: RNAcentral
UGGGGAAUAUUGGGCAAUGGGCGCAAGCCUGACCCAGCAACGCCGCGUGAAGGAAGAAGGCUUUCGGGUUGUAAACUUCUUUUAAGAGGGAAGAGCAGAAGACGGUACCUCUUGAAUAAGCCACGGCUAACUACGUGCCAGCAGCCGCGGUAAUACGUAGGUGGCAAGCGUUGUCCGGAUUUACUGGGUGUAAAGGGCGUGCAGCCGGGAAGACAAGUCAGAUGUGAAAUCCCGCGGCUCAACCGCGGAACUGCAUUUGAAACUGUUUUUCUUGAGUACCGGAGAGGUCAUCGGAAUUCCUUG